GUUGGCAUAUAGAAGGGUUGAUCAUAGACUUCUCACAUUAACUGAUCUGCUGAGACCAGAGCCCCGAGCAGGAAGAUGCCCAGCCUCGUCCUGCAUAAGUCGGCAGGCAGCACCCAGCUCCUCUGCUGUGUGGCCCUCUAUCUCCUGGGGGCAGGUGCGGUGGAUGCUGGAGUCACCCAGUCCCCAGGAUACCUAAUCAAAGGCAGGCUGGGCAAGGCCACUCUGAAAUGCUCUCCCAUCUCCGGACACAACAGUGUGCUGUGGUACCAGCAGGCUCGGGGGCAGGGCCCCCAGUUGCUAGUGGAGUAUUAUGAAAGGAUGCAGAGAGCCAAAGGAAACUUCACUGACCGCUUCUCAGGUCAGCAGCUCAGUGACUACAGCUCUGAACUGGACCUGAGGGACUUGGAGCCUGGGGACUCAGCCUCGUAUCUCUGCGCCAGCAGCUGGAGCACAGCCCUGCAGAGUGACUGGCUUUCUGUAUGCAAACCUUCCUGA
Molecule: non-coding RNA, 495 nt
Organism: Manis javanica (Malayan pangolin)
Lineage: Eukaryota; Metazoa; Chordata; Mammalia; Pholidota; Manidae
Source: the annotation of a RefSeq genome assembly